RNAcentral lists this transfer RNA (62 nucleotides) under uncultured Treponema sp. It matches the Rfam family "tRNA", at positions 6 to 65 of the family's 71-position model. From Rfam's summary of the family: Transfer RNA (tRNA) molecules are approximately 80 nucleotides in length. Their secondary structure includes four short double-helical elements and three loops (D, anti-codon, and T loops). Lineage: Bacteria; Pseudomonadati; Spirochaetota; Spirochaetia; Treponematales; Treponemataceae. The record is from RNAcentral.
CUUAGCUCAGCUGGUAGAGCAAUGGACUGUUAAUCCAUGUGUCGCAGGUUCAAAACCUGCAG